GAUGAACGCUAGCGGCAGGCUUAACACAUGCAAGUCGAGGGGCAGCAUAAUGGAUAGCAAUAUCUAUGGUGGCGACCGGCGCACGGGUGCGUAACGCGUAUGCAACCUACCUUUAACAGGGGGAUAACACUGAGAAAUUGGUACUAAUACCCCAUAAUAUCAUAGAAGGCAUCUUUUAUGGUUGAAAAUUCCGAUGGUUGGAGAUGGGCAUGCGUUGUA
RNAcentral lists this ribosomal RNA (219 nucleotides) under uncultured bacterium. RNAcentral describes it as "partial 16S ribosomal RNA". It matches the Rfam family "Bacterial small subunit ribosomal RNA", at positions 28 to 240 of the family's 1533-position model. The record is from RNAcentral.